RNA transcript from Medicago truncatula (barrel medic), 2190 nucleotides. RefSeq lists it as uncharacterized. The transcript has 3 exons. Lineage: Eukaryota; Viridiplantae; Streptophyta; Magnoliopsida; Fabales; Fabaceae. The record is from RefSeq and is a predicted model, not a curated record.
UUUUUUUUAAGUGAGUGUGAUGAAUGAUUUUGUGUGCUUUCAAACUUUCUAUUGGACAAAUCAGCAUAUUACCAUAUCCGGUGACACAAUUCAUUCACAAAGCCGCUAGGUUCGACAAUGGCUUCAUUCCAUUUUCUUCUUCUUGCAAUCCAAACACAUCCGCCGCAUCCACUUCUCUCAACAAGUUUCAGAAAUCGCAUUAUUUUCAUUCUCUUUUCUCUCUAUUCCUCACUUCACUUCGCUACCUUCUUGCUUCUCCAAGGUUCGGAUAAUGGCGGCAAAUAGUGAUCCAACUAACAAUGCGGUGUCCCAAAACCGUGAGAUUGGAGAGCUUCCCAAGGAAGUUAAUCCGAAAAUUGGAUACAAUAGUGGUAAGCAUUGGUCAGAUGAUGAAAUCAAUUUGCUCAAGUCCUUCAUAGAUUCAAAAAGUUGGGAAGACAUCAAUUGGAAAGACAUCAGGGAUGAAGAAAAAUUGUUUGUCGGGAUUUGAAAGCGAUUCGGGACAAGGCAAGGAAACUUUUUAAAAAGAAAAUACAAGAUCCGAAAAUUAGAUACAAUACUGGUAAGCCAUGGUCACAUGAUGAAAACAAUGCCCUCAAGUCCCUCUUAGAUGCAAAAAGUUGGAAAGACAUCAAUUGGGAAGAGAUAAGGGAUGAAGAAAAACUGUUUGGUCGGGAUUUGAAUGCAAUUCAGGACAAGGCCAGGAAAUUUUUUAAAAGUAAAGGGAAAAAGGCGAUGAAGAUAGCAGAGAACUGUGAACUUCCUUGGAAUGUACUUGAUAUCAUUUCCAAAACACUAGAUUUUGACGAUCUCUUUCGGUUUUCCGGUGUGUGCAAGAAUUGGAGGGCUUUUUAUUGGAGAAAUUUACUGGCAUCGGAAGAACCGUUCUUCAAGUUUCAUAUAAUCAUAAGGAGUCAAAUUCCUUUAUUAGCUUCCCCAACCAAAAGAUUUAUUGCUUGAAGAUGAUGGAGGGACUUCCUCCGCUCUAUCUAUGUUACGACUUCUAGCGGAUAUUUUAUCAUGGCGGGGUAUAAUAAUUCAUUUAUACUAAUCAAUCCGUUUACAAGAAUAAAGAAGGUAAUCAAUGUAUCUACCUUUGAAGUUAAGUAUAAUAUUUUUGCUUAUCAUGCCUUACUUGCUUUUGGCAAAUACUCUGGUGAAUUUGUCUCGUUGGUUUUAUGCAAAAGUUCUAGGAGUUUGCGUGUCUAUCAAUCUCAAAAUUGUGGUUGGGUUACUUAUUCGAUAGUGGAAAAACCAGGGAGGGUUGUUGACUUUAUGGUUUUACAUAAUAUAAUAUAUGUUGUCACUGACAAGGCCAACAUAGGGGUACUUAGCUUGAAUUCUGCAGAUAUUAAAUUUCUAAAACUGAAGAGUGUUCCCAACGUCCGAUACCUUAGAUUGGUCAACUGUGAUGAGCAACUUUUGGUGGUUGAUUCAUCGUUGAAGGAAACAAGGAAUGUAUACAAGAUAGACUUCUCAACCAUGAAUUAUGUCAAACUGGAAAGUUUGGGCGACAUUUCAUUAUUUCAUGCUGCUAACAGAAACUAUUAUGCAUUAAGCAACCCAAAUAGGUGGGGAUAUGAAAGCAACUCUGUGCAUGUCAUCAAUCGUCUGUAUACAUAAUGCAGUGUGUAUUCAGGCGAUGAUAAAAAAAUUACAAAAAUGUAUCACGUUUCCAGCUCCUCCUUAUGGAACAGAUUCUCACAUGUUGGAUUGGUGUUUUAGACAUCUACAAUAUGAGGUAGAUUAUUCUCUAGUUGAGUAACUUGCAUGUUGUACACCGUGUUUUGUGUUAAUUAGGAAAAACUUGCAAUGUUUUGUAGUUUCAUUAAGGAAGUAUUGAGAUUGAAGAAAGAAUUGAAUUCAGAUGUGUAUCAGAAGUGUAUGUGUUGGCCAUUAGUAGUUUGUUUACUUUUGAUGUUUUUUAUUUUUAUUUUUACCGAUAAAAUAAAUAUCAGAAAAUGCACUGGGGAAAACUUUGAAGCUAUUAGUAGUAGAGGUGGCUCUGGUCCAACAGGUUAUCAACCGUUCACAUUAGAAAUGGAAAGUAAACGCCAUUCUUCUAAUCAUUCUAGGUAAGAAAGAAACUCUGCCUCUAGGAUUUUGAGUUUGGAUUAGGAUCAGUGACGGCAUGAUUUGUUUGUACAUUUAGAUUAUAGAUUGUAUAUUUAUUGAAGCUAGCAUUUUCUA